UUGAUUAUGACGUACUUGUACUGAUUGAGAUUUUAACACGAAGUGAGUGGCGAACGGGUGAGUAACACGUGGGUAACCUGCCCAGAAGUAGGGGAUAACACCUGGAAACAGAUGCUAAUACCGUAUAACAGAGAAAACCGCAUGGUUUUCUUUUAAAAGAUGGCUCUGCUAUCACUUCUGGAUGGACCCGCGGCGUAUUAGCUAGUUGGUGAGGUAAAGGCUCACCAAGGCAGUGAUACGUAGCCGACCUGAGAGGGUAAUCGGCCACAUUGGGACUGAGACACGGCCCAGACUCCUACGGGAGGCAGCAGUAGGGAAUCUUCCACAAUGGACGCAAGUCUGAUGGAGCAACGCCGCGUGAGUGAAGAAGGGUUUCGGCUCGUAAAGCUCUGUUGUUAAAGAAGAACGUGGGUAAGAGUAACUGUUUACCCAGUGACGGUAUUUAACCAGAAAGCCACGGCUAACUACGUGCCAGCAGCCGCGGUAAUACGUAGGUGGCAAGCGUUAUCCGGAUUUAUUGGGCGUAAAGCGAGCGCAGGCGGUCUUUUAAGUCUAAUGUGAAAGCCUUCGGCUCAACCGAAGAAGUGCAUUGGAAACUGGGAGACUUGAGUGCAGAAGAGGACAGUGGAACUCCAUGUGUAGCGGUGAAAUGCGUAGAUAUAUGGAAGAACACCAGUGGCGAAGGCGGCUGUCUGGUCUGCAACUGACGCUGAGGCUCGAAAGCAUGGGUAGCGAACAGGAUUAGAUACCCUGGUAGUCCAUGCCGUAAACGAUGAUUACUAAGUGUUGGAGGGUUUCCGCCCUUCAGUGCUGCAGCUAACGCAUUAAGUAAUCCGCCUGGGGAGUACGACCGCAAGGUUGAAACUCAAAAGAAUUGACGGGGGCCCGCACAAGCGGUGGAGCAUGUGGUUUAAUUCGAAGCUACGCGAAGAACCUUACCAGGUCUUGACAUCUUCUGACAGUCUAAGAGAUUAGAGGUUCCCUUCGGGGACAGAAUGACAGGUGGUGCAUGGUUGUCGUCAGCUCGUGUCGUGAGAUGUUGGGUUAAGUCCCGCAACGAGCGCAACCCUUAUUACUAGUUGCCAGCAUUAAGUUGGGCACUCUAGUGAGACUGCCGGUGACAAACCGGAGGAAGGUGGGGACGACGUCAAAUCAUCAUGCCCCUUAUGACCUGGGCUACACACGUGCUACAAUGGAUGGUACAACGAGUCGCGAGACCGCGAGGUUAAGCUAAUCUCUUAAAACCAUUCUCAGUUCGGACUGUAGGCUGCAACUCGCCUACACGAAGUCGGAAUCGCUAGUAAUCGCGGAUCAGCAUGCCGCGGUGAAUACGUUCCCGGGCCUUGUACACACCGCCCGUCACACCAUGAGAGUUUGUAACACC
RNAcentral lists this ribosomal RNA (1384 nucleotides) under Pediococcus pentosaceus. Its description in RNAcentral is "bacterial SSU rRNA". It matches the Rfam family "Bacterial small subunit ribosomal RNA", at positions 62 to 1421 of the family's 1533-position model. Lineage: Bacteria; Bacillati; Bacillota; Bacilli; Lactobacillales; Lactobacillaceae. The record is from RNAcentral.